UACCUCGGACCUACCGUCAUUAUUUUUGC
RNAcentral lists this small RNA (29 nucleotides) under Bombyx mori (domestic silkworm). RNAcentral's name for it is "ovarian small RNA-20867". Lineage: Eukaryota; Metazoa; Arthropoda; Insecta; Lepidoptera; Bombycidae. The record is from RNAcentral.